Molecule: small nucleolar RNA, 105 nt
Organism: Rattus norvegicus (Norway rat)
Lineage: Eukaryota; Metazoa; Chordata; Mammalia; Rodentia; Muridae
Product: small nucleolar RNA SNORA70
Source: Ensembl
AUGAACUUUAUCUUUGGUGUGCAAUGGUUGCAAACAGCAGCCUCCUUGGUAGUGUAUGUAGCCUAUUGUCUAUAUGGGUUACCUCAAGGGACCUUGGAAACAGUU